Molecule: ribosomal RNA, 465 nt
Filed under: uncultured bacterium
Lineage: Bacteria
Description: bacterial SSU rRNA
Rfam family: Bacterial small subunit ribosomal RNA
Source: RNAcentral
GCCAGACUCCUACGGGAGGCAGCAGUGAGGAAUAUUGGUCAAUGGGCUUACGCCUGAACCAGCCAAGUCGCGUGAGGGAAGACUGCCCUAUGGGUUGUAAACCUCUUUUGCCGGGGAGCAACGGGGUCCUUGCGAGGGCCCGAUGAGAGUACCCGGAGAAAAAGCAUCGGCUAACUCCGUGCCAGCAGCCGCGGUAAUACGGAGGAUGCGAGCGUUAUCCGGAUUUAUUGGGUUUAAAGGGUGCGCAGGCGGAGGUGCAAGUCAGCGGUCAAAUUGCGGGGCUCAACCCCGUACUGCCGUUGAAACUGCAUCCCUUGAGUGCGCGAGAAGUAUGCGGAAUGCGUGGUGUAGCGGUGAAAUGCAUAGAUAUCACGCAGAACUCCGAUUGCGAAGGCAGCGUACCGGCGCCCAACUGACGCUGAAGCACGAAGGCGUGGGUAUCGAACAGGAUUAGAUACCCCCGUA